UACGUAGGGGGCAAGCGUUGUCCGGAAUCAUUGGGCGUAAAGAGCGUGUAGGCGGCCUGGUAAGUCCGCUGUGAAAGUCCAGGGCUCAACCCUGGAAUGCCGGUGGAAACUGUCAGGCUCGAGUCCGGAAGAGGCGAGUGGAAUUCCUGGUGUAGCGGUGAAAUGCGCAGAUAUCAGGAGGAACACCAAUGGCGAAGGCGGCUCUCUAGUACGGUACUGACGCUGAGACGCGAAAGCGUGGGGAGCGAACAGG
This 253-nucleotide ribosomal RNA is filed under the name uncultured bacterium. RNAcentral describes it as "partial 16S ribosomal RNA". It matches the Rfam family "Bacterial small subunit ribosomal RNA", at positions 524 to 776 of the family's 1533-position model. The record is from RNAcentral.